CGGGGUGCAGCAGGGCGCGAAAACUUUACAAUGCGCGAAACCGCGAUAAGGGGACCCCCAGUGCNCAGCAUUUUAUNUUGGCUGUCCACANGUGUAAACAGCAUGUGCUUANCANGGGCCGGGCAAGACCGUUGCCAGCNGCCGCGGUAACACCGGCGGCCCGAGUGGUAAUCACUUUUAUUUGGGUCUAAAGGNUCCCGUAGCCGGUUUGAUCAUUUCUUCGGGAAAUCUGACAGCUCAACUGUUAGGCUUCCGGGGAAUACUGUCAGACUUGGGACCGGGAGGAGGUAAGAGGUACUACAGGGGUAGGAGUGAAAUCUUGUAAUUCCCUGUGGGAUCCACCAGUGGCGAAGGCGUCUUACCAGAACGGGUCCGACGGUGAGGGACGAAAGCUAGGGGGCACGAACCGGAUUAGAUACCCGGGUAGUCCCAGCCGUAAACGAUGUUCGCUACGAUAUAAGGGNCUUCGUUACGACCACUUNCUAGUGCCGUAUGNGAACCCCCCUAANUCACUCCNCCUGGGAAC
RNAcentral lists this ribosomal RNA (526 nucleotides) under uncultured Methanococcoides sp. RNAcentral's name for it is "partial 16S ribosomal RNA". It matches the Rfam family "Archaeal small subunit ribosomal RNA", at positions 326 to 828 of the family's 1478-position model. The record is from RNAcentral. Lineage: Archaea; Methanobacteriati; Methanobacteriota; Methanomicrobia; Methanosarcinales; Methanosarcinaceae.